CUCGUAUCUAAAUAAGCUAACCGUGAAA
This 28-nucleotide small RNA is filed under the name Bombyx mori (domestic silkworm). RNAcentral describes it as "ovarian small RNA-14691". Lineage: Eukaryota; Metazoa; Arthropoda; Insecta; Lepidoptera; Bombycidae. The record is from RNAcentral.